UACGAAGGGGGCUAGCGUUGCUCGGAAUCACUGGGCGUAAAGCGCACGUAGGCGGCUUUUUAAGUCAGGGGUGAAAUCCUGGAGCUCGACUCCAGAACUGCCUUUGAUACUGAGAAGCUUGAGUCCGGGAGAGGUGAGUGGAACUGCGAGUGUAGAGGUGAAAUUCGUAGAUAUUCGCAAGAACACCAGUGGCGAAGGCGGCUCACUGGCCCGGUACUGACGCUGAGGUGCGAAAGCGUGGGGAGCAAACAGG
RNAcentral lists this ribosomal RNA (253 nucleotides) under uncultured bacterium. RNAcentral's name for it is "partial 16S ribosomal RNA". It matches the Rfam family "Bacterial small subunit ribosomal RNA", at positions 524 to 776 of the family's 1533-position model. The record is from RNAcentral.